AGCUCGUAUUAACAUAACUUUUGCAAACUAAAUGUAAUUGGUGCUUGCUUUAAAAAACUGUGGGAAUAUUUUGUGGAAUUUUGGAGUUGCAGGAUUUUCAUAACAGCUGAGUGGAAUGAAAGAGUAAUGAAAUACAUAAACAAAAACAGCUGUUGCGAGAAAAACACAAAUAAGAAGUGGCAGAUUAAUUGUAAAAUAAAUGCAAUAUUGUUCUUGUUUUAAAGAUGGAAUCGUUGUGUUACCAAUUAAAUAUUAGGUUAGUUUAUGGCGGUUGAUAAAUAUUAUUAAUAUAAGUACAAAGAAAAGUCUAAAUUGUAAUGAAUAAAAUAUGUUCUCAGACGUUUAUUACUAUUCAAUAGUAAAAUAUGAUAAAUUCCUUACGUCUAAGCAAGUAAGUAGGAAAGUGUCAACUUGAUGGCCUGCUCUCCUUCACCCCGCAAAUGACAGGGGUGGACUAUUGCCAAAGUACAGAACAGCAAAGUCCUCAAGUCGUUAGCCGGCAGCUCAGGUGGAAAAGCAUUGUUGGUAAUAUGCAAGGUAAUCGGGUGGGGUGGACGGUCAUCACCUAUUUAGCACCGUAGUUCGUAAACAUCGUGUUUGCAGUUGUCAGCUUGAUGCUGAGCCGCCUGCAAGGAGCAUUAAGAGGUUACCUAUUGUUGUUCUCAAACAGAAUACUAGAAGGCAACUAACUUUAGUCACGCACUGACCGUCAUGGCUCCACAGUAGAGUCAUUUACGCCUUCAUCGAAUUCCUCCCGCUCAGUAGCGUACACCGUUUUACUCAGAAACUUUAUAGUUACCCUUGCACAACUGCGUUUUGGACACUGUAACACUUAUCCAGAAUUGAUCCCACAUAUAGGGAUUAUUGCGCAAGGGUAACUCGAAAUUCUCUGGGCAACACUGUGGUGUAACUGAAAGUAUGUACAUUCUGAGUACAAUAGGUUCCCGUAUGACUACCCAGAUCUUUGCAAGCCCAAUCAGAAACAGAAUAUUUGCUGGGACUACCGUUAGAAGACUUCGAUGAGAACCAACUUGAACCUUACAGCCCAAGCGGUGAUUAGGUAGCCACAUCAACAGAAAAGUACCAUAUAAGUUUAUUUACCGCAGCAAGUACAUUUAUAAUCCAUUUCAGAGAUUCUUGGACCGUUGAAAGAUGUUUUACAAAAUCAAAAGAUUAGGAAAAGCUCUAUAUCAAUUCGUGAAAAGCAGUGCAUCAUCAAUUUAAUACAAUUAACUUAAAUGUAUGCCCUUUUUGGCAAUAGCAAUUUAACCUGCUGAAUCACUGAAGGAGGUGUUGUUAGUGAGGCCACAGAGACUUUGAAAUUCAUGUCGGGUGCGUGCAAACAAAAUAGCCGCCUCAUGGACCCAUCCUAACGCGGAUUAGGUACCCGUUACAACAACAACAAAUAACUAUCGGGCAUUCCAAAGGACAAAACUGGUCUAUGGAUUGUUCGACUAACGGAUUAACUUUACCAAUGGAGAAUACUGCCCAGUAAAAAAGUUUCUUUUUUAUGAUUUUUUAUAUUUUACGCUUUUUGUUAGACAUUUCUUGAGUGUACGUUCUGUAUUGUCUUCAAUUAUUACAAUAAUUAUCAUUCUAAAUAGGCGAUAAUUGCAUAAUCAGCCUUAUUUAGCAAACUAUAAUCUGUUGAAGUACUAUAUUCAGGAAUACAAAAGUGUUUAUAAUAUCUACAUACAUACAUAUAUACGUUUGUAGAUACCAUUCAAAAUCAAUCACUUGUUUCUAUUCGUGAAGUAAACACGCCCAUUAAUGAGUGUGCAAUUGGUGUAAUUACUUUCAAAUAUACUUAUUUAUGAUAAUUAUUUAUAAUUAUAUUUGUUUAAUUGCUGUAAUAAAGGCCUAACAGAAUGAUAAUUUAUUUUUGAGGUUUAGGCAGCCUAGAACCUUCAAAAAUGCUUAAUUUUAAUGGUUUAUUCUGGGAAAUAAGAAAAAUUCGGUCUUUUGUCUUUUAGGCUUGAUUAAACAUGUAUUUGAUAAAAAAAAAAAUGUUGACAUUUCUUAGGGGCUAUGAGGGCAAUCCUAGAAAUC
Long non-coding RNA from Bactrocera dorsalis (oriental fruit fly), 2049 nucleotides. RefSeq lists it as uncharacterized. The transcript has 3 exons. Lineage: Eukaryota; Metazoa; Arthropoda; Insecta; Diptera; Tephritidae. The record is from RefSeq and is a predicted model, not a curated record.